UGGGAACGUGCCCAAAGGUACGGAAUAACUCCGGGAAACUGGAGCUAAUACCGUAUGCGCCCGAAAGGGGAAAGAUUUAUCGCCUUUGGAUCGGCCCGCGUCUGAUUAGCUAGUUGGUGAGGUAAUGGCUCACCAAGGCGACGAUCAGUAGCUGGUCUGAGAGGAUGAUCAGCCACACUGGGACUGAGACACGGCCCAGACUCCUACGGGAGGCAG
This 216-nucleotide ribosomal RNA is filed under the name uncultured bacterium. RNAcentral's name for it is "partial 16S ribosomal RNA". It matches the Rfam family "Bacterial small subunit ribosomal RNA", at positions 118 to 351 of the family's 1533-position model. The record is from RNAcentral.